AACUUGAGAGUUUGAUCCUGGCUCAGAACGAACGCUGGCGGCAGGCUUAACACAUGCAAGUCGA
RNAcentral lists this ribosomal RNA (64 nucleotides) under Mesorhizobium sp. SEMIA 3007. RNAcentral's name for it is "partial 16S ribosomal RNA". Lineage: Bacteria; Pseudomonadati; Pseudomonadota; Alphaproteobacteria; Hyphomicrobiales; Phyllobacteriaceae. The record is from RNAcentral.